Molecule: ribosomal RNA, 375 nt
Filed under: uncultured organism
Description: partial 16S ribosomal RNA
Rfam family: Bacterial small subunit ribosomal RNA
Source: RNAcentral
GUAGGUGGCAAGCGUUGUCCGGAAUUAUUGGGCGUAAAGCGCGCGCAGGCGGUUCUUUAAGUCUGAUGUGAAAGCCCACGGCUCAACCGUGGAGGGUCAUUGGAAACUGGAGAACUUGAGUACAGAAGAGGAAAGCGGAAUCCACGUGUAGCGGUGAAAUGCGUAGAGAUGUGGAGGAACACCAGUGGCGAAGGCGGCUUUCUGGUCUGUAACUGACGCUGAGGCGCGAAAGCGUGGGGAGCAAACAGGGAUUAGAUACCCUGGUAGUCCACGCCGUAAACGAUGAGUGCUAAGUGUUAGGGGGGGUUUCCCGCCCCCUUAGUGCUGCAGCUAACGCAUUAAGCACUCCGCCUGGGGAGUACGGCCGCAAGGCUG